This 326-nucleotide long non-coding RNA is filed under the name Panax ginseng (ginseng). Its description in RNAcentral is "long non-coding RNA (PGIN_LNC010298)". The record is from RNAcentral. Lineage: Eukaryota; Viridiplantae; Streptophyta; Magnoliopsida; Apiales; Araliaceae.
UCUGUUCUUAUUUAGGUCCAUUAAUGAUAUUAAGUACGGUGAUUAGCUAUCAGUUGCAUUCACAAUUAUGCAUUCACCACUUAAUUCUGUUAAGUGUCAUACAUACAUUUCAACCAUCGAUACCAUGUAGGAAAAAGCUUCCAGGAAGAAACAUGAAUGAUGAACCAGUUCUUUGGUUCAUUCUGGUUUAAAUUUUCUUAGUGUUAUAUUUCUAUUAUUUUAUUAAUGUCUUUCUUCCUAAUCAGAAGGCUAUUUAAUCUUGCGUUGCAGGUACUGUUUUCUGUGAGCCCAUCAUAUGCAAAAACAUUCCUAGAAUUGUUCUUGGU